UGCAGUCGAGGGGUAACAGGGGAGCUUGCUCUCGCUGACGACCGGCGCACGGGUGAGUAACGCGUAUGCAACCUACCCAUAACUGGGGCAUAGCUUCCGGAAACGGAAAUUAAUACCCCAUAGUAUUAUAAUAUCGCAUGAUAUAAUAAUUAAAGUUCCGACGGUUAUGGAUGGGCAUGCGUGCCAUUAGCUAGUUGGUGAGGUAACGGCUCACCAAGGCUAUGAUGGCUAGGGGGUCUUAAAGGAUGGUCCCCCACACUGGUACUGAGACACGGACCAGACUCCUACGGGAGGCAGCAGUGAGGAAUAUUGGUCAAUGGGCGCAAGCCUGAACCAGCCAUGCCGCGUGCAGGAAGACGGCCCUAUGGGUUGUAAACUGCUUUUAUAUGGGAAGAAAACGUUCUACGUGUAGGGCAUUGACGGUACCAUAAGAAUAAGCAUCGGCUAACUCCGUGCCAGCAGCCGCGGUAAUACGGAGGAUGCAAGCGUUAUCCGGAUUUAUUAGGUUUAAAGGAUGUGUAGGCGGGACUCUAAGUCAGUGGUGAAAUCUUUCGGCUCAACCGGAAAACUGCCAUUGAUACUGGAGUUCUUGAGUAUAGUUGAGGUAGGCGGAAUGUGUAAUGUAGCGGUGAAAUGCUUAGAUAUUACACAGAACACCGAUUGCGAAAGGCAGCUUACUAAGCUAUUACUGACGCUGA
Molecule: ribosomal RNA, 698 nt
Filed under: uncultured bacterium
Lineage: Bacteria
Description: bacterial SSU rRNA
Rfam family: Bacterial small subunit ribosomal RNA
Source: RNAcentral